RNAcentral lists this ribosomal RNA (391 nucleotides) under uncultured bacterium. RNAcentral describes it as "bacterial SSU rRNA". It matches the Rfam family "Bacterial small subunit ribosomal RNA", at positions 28 to 421 of the family's 1533-position model. The record is from RNAcentral.
GACGAACGCUGGCGGCGUGCUUAACACAUGCAAGUCGAGCGGUAAGGUCCUUUCGGGGGUACACGAGCGGCGAACGGGUGAGUAACACGUGGGUGACCUGCCCUUAGCUCUGGGAUAAGCCUGGGAAACUGGGUCUAAUACCGGAUAUGACUCCAUGACGCAUGUUGUGGGGUGGAAAGCCUUGUGCGGCUAGGGAUGGGCCUGCGGCCUAUCAGCUUGUUGGUGGGGUGAUGGCCUACCAAGGCGACGACGGGUAGCCGGCCUGAGAGGGCGACCGGCCACACUGGGACUGAGACACGGCCCAGACUCCUACGGGAGGCAGCAGUGGGGAAUCUUGCGCAAUGGGCGAAAGCCUGACGCAGCGACGCCGCGUGGGGAUGACGGCCUGUGU